UAUAGAUUUUGGAGUGGGCCAAUUCAGAGUCCUGCAGCUGGGCCUGGCUUUAGAGCUUUCUUUAAGGGACAGCACGAAGAAGGAAUGCUACUGUGACAAACUCAACACUGCAGCAACUGAACACAAAAUAUCAACCCUGUCUUCCUGAUUAACUGCCAAACUCCUAUCGCUUCUGUGGGAGGAGAUGAGGAGCUAGAUGCUUUGAAGAAUAAUGACUCACCAAUCAAAAUGAUUGGAAGACCCAGGCAUCAUCAUUUAGUCCUUAAGGUGAAGUAAGUAGAGAACUUGGACACUUGUUCUAAGCAUUGCCAGACCUGCAUCUCUCCACCCUAACCUAACUGCAUAAACUUGGCAUGGUGCCACAUG
Mastomys coucha (southern multimammate mouse) is the source of this 366-nucleotide long non-coding RNA. RefSeq lists it as uncharacterized. Lineage: Eukaryota; Metazoa; Chordata; Mammalia; Rodentia; Muridae. The record is from RefSeq and is a predicted model, not a curated record. The transcript is spliced from 3 exons.